RNAcentral lists this ribosomal RNA (200 nucleotides) under uncultured bacterium. RNAcentral describes it as "partial 16S ribosomal RNA". It matches the Rfam family "Bacterial small subunit ribosomal RNA", at positions 28 to 225 of the family's 1533-position model. The record is from RNAcentral.
GAUGAACGCUAGCGGCAGGCUUAAUACAUGCAAGUCGAGGGGCAGCAGGUCCCGCAAGGGAUGCUGGCGACCGGCAAACGGGUGAGGAACACGUACGCAACUUUCCUUCAAGUGAGGAAUAGCCCAGGGAAACUUGGAUUAAUACCCCGUAAUAUCGUUGCCAGGCAUCUGGUGGCGAUUAAAGCUCCGGCACUCGAAGA